Molecule: non-coding RNA, 73 nt
Organism: Parelaphostrongylus tenuis
Lineage: Eukaryota; Metazoa; Nematoda; Chromadorea; Rhabditida; Metastrongylidae
Source: the annotation of a GenBank genome assembly
AAGUCUGUGAUGUAACGGUUCAGCACACGCUCCCGGAAAGAGUGAGAUCUGGGUUCAAAUCCCGGCUGACGCA